AGCAGCCGCGGUAAUUCCAGCUCCAAUAGCGUAUAUUAAAGUUGUUGCAGUUAAAAAGCUCGUAGUUGAAUUUCGGGAUUGACGUGAUGGUCGUGCCUUACGGGGUAUGAACUGUUGCAGUCAAUUUCUCACCUUCUGGAGAAGUAUGAUGUCCUUAAUUGGGUGUCAUAUGGAACCAGAACUUUUACCUUGAAAAAAUUAGAGUGUUUAAAGCAGGCUUAUUGCUCGAAUACAUUAGCAUGGAAUAAUAAAAUAGGACGGCAUGGUUCUAUUUUGUUGGUUUCUAGGAUCACCGUAAUGAUUAAUAGGGAUAGUUGGGGGCAUUAGUAUUCAAUUGUCAGAGGUGAAAUUCUUGGAUUUAUUGAAGACUAACUACUGCGAAAGCAUUUGCCAAGGAUGUUUUCAUUAAUCAAGAACGAAAGUUAGGGGAUCGAAGACGAUCAGAUACCGUCGUAGUCUUAACCAUAAACUAUGCCGACUAGGAAUCAGACGAUGUUAAUUUUUUAAUGUACU
RNAcentral lists this unclassified non-coding RNA (513 nucleotides) under uncultured Glomus. RNAcentral describes it as "SSU rRNA". It matches the Rfam family "Eukaryotic small subunit ribosomal RNA", at positions 569 to 1080 of the family's 1831-position model. The record is from RNAcentral. Lineage: Eukaryota; Fungi; Glomeromycota; Glomeromycetes; Glomerales; Glomeraceae.